UACGUAGGCAGCAAGCGUUGUUCGGAAUUACUGGGCGUAAAGGGUGUGUAGGCGGUUUUCUAAGUUUGGUGUGAAAUCUCCCGGCUCAACUGGGAGGGUGCGCCGAAAACUGGAAAGCUAGAGUACUGGAUGGGAGAGUGGAAUUCCUGGUGUAGCGGUGAAAUGCGUAGAUAUCAGGAGGAACACCUGUGGUGUAGACGGCUCUCUGGACAGUCACUGACGCUGAGACACGAAAGCGUGGGUAGCAAACAGG
RNAcentral lists this ribosomal RNA (253 nucleotides) under uncultured bacterium. RNAcentral describes it as "partial 16S ribosomal RNA". It matches the Rfam family "Bacterial small subunit ribosomal RNA", at positions 524 to 776 of the family's 1533-position model. The record is from RNAcentral.